CGUGAGUUAAUAGCACCGGUUUAAACAGAUGUGAAUGUUAAAGAAAAAAAACCCGCCCCUCUAUUUUCUUUCUCUUUCCCCUCUUCUCUCUUUCUCUUUCCUCGAUCUCUCGUUCUCUCACUUUCUCUUCUCUCUCCUCUCUCCUCUCUCCUCAACUAGAUCUCCCUCUUCUCUCUCUCUUUCCUCUCUCCACUGUGCCACCGUCCAUUCCACCUCGCUGGCGCACUUUCCUCUUAGCUAUCUGUCUUUCUAUCCAUCCCACCUCACAUUCACUCUCCUCUCAGCUCUCUUUUUCUCUCUUUCAUUUACCCUCGCACUAACCAUCGCGGCGGCGAUGGUGACGGGUUUAUUUCUUCACCGGCGCCGGAUCUUUGCAAUGGUGGUGGAUCUCUUCACGAAGAGUCGAUGCUUGGAUUUCUCCUCUUCUUCACUGCGUUCCGCCGCCUCAUCCUCAGUCAUCUCCAAAUCCCCUCUUUCUCGUGAUGAACAUGAGCCCAGAUCUACCCCUUGUUUGAUUUGAAGAGGCUGCAUUGAGGAUGCUCUAUGGCAUACAAUGAACGCUGCAUUUCUGUUCUAUGUUGCUGCUUCGGAGCUGCUGUUGUUUAGCAAUUGUGAUGCUGCUGCUCUGCUAGUGAUUGUAGGAAGUUGUUGCUGCUCUUAUUAUAGUGAAUGUAUCGAAUGUUUUUUAUUCUUUUUUUUUUCAAGUGUAAAAUUACAGGUUAUCAAUGAAAUUAUUAGUUUUAAGUA
Chenopodium quinoa (quinoa) is the source of this 747-nucleotide long non-coding RNA. RefSeq lists it as uncharacterized. The record is from RefSeq and is a predicted model, not a curated record. NCBI's taxonomy places the organism in Eukaryota, Viridiplantae, Streptophyta, Magnoliopsida, Caryophyllales, Amaranthaceae. The transcript has 3 exons.